AUUGAACGCUAGCGGCAGGCUUAACACAUGCAAGUCGAGGGGUAACAUAGAAAAGCUUGCUUUUCUGAUGACGACCGGCGCACGGGUGCGUAACGCGUAUACAACCUACCUUUUAGCGGGGAAUAGCCCAGGGAAACUUGGAUUAAUGCCCCAUAGUAUAUAGACUUCUCCUGAAGUUUAUAUUAAACAUUUAUGGCUAUUAGAUGGGUAUGCGUCCUAUUAGUUAGUUGGUAAGGUAACGGCUUACCAAGGCAGCGAUAGGUAGGGGUCCUGAGAGGGAGAUCCCCACACUGGUACUGAGACACGGACCAGACUCCUACGGGAGGCAGCAGUGAGGAAUAUUGGACAAUGGGCGAGAGCCUGAUCCAGCCAUGCCGCGUGCAGGAAGACUGCCCUAUGGGUUGUAAACUGCUUUUACAGAGGAAGAACCACCCCCACGUGUGGGGGUUUGACGGUACUCUGCGAAUAAGGAUCGGCUAACUCCGUG
Molecule: ribosomal RNA, 487 nt
Filed under: uncultured bacterium
Lineage: Bacteria
Description: bacterial SSU rRNA
Rfam family: Bacterial small subunit ribosomal RNA
Source: RNAcentral